GACGAACGCUGGCGGCGUGCUUAACACAUGCAAGUCGAACGGGCCUGUCUUCUUUUUUGGGGGUGGGUUGAGUGGCGAACGGGUGAGUAUCACGUGAGUAACCUGCCCUUCGGUCCUGGAUAACCGCUUGAAAGGGCGGCUAAUACGGGGUGGUCCGGUUGGUCCGCAUGGGCUGGUCGGGAUAGAUUCACUGUUUUUGGUGUUUCGGCGGGGGAUGGGCUCGCGGCCUAUCAGCUUGUUGGUGGGGUGAUGGCCUACCAAGGCGGUGACGGGUAGCCGGCCUGGGAGGGUGGGCGGCCACACUGGGACUGAGAUACGGCCCAGACUCCUGCGGGAGGCAGCAGUGGGGGGUAUUGCACAAUGGGCGGAAGCCUGAUGCAGCGACGUCGCGUGAGGGAUGGAGGCCUUCGGGUUGUGAACCUCUGUUUCCGGUGGUGAAGGCCCUGUCCGUGUGGUGGGGUUGACGGUAGCCGGGGAUGAAGCGCCGGCUAACUACGUG
This 499-nucleotide ribosomal RNA is filed under the name uncultured bacterium. Its description in RNAcentral is "partial 16S ribosomal RNA". It matches the Rfam family "Bacterial small subunit ribosomal RNA", at positions 28 to 507 of the family's 1533-position model. The record is from RNAcentral.